Cavia porcellus (domestic guinea pig) is the source of this 791-nucleotide long non-coding RNA. RefSeq lists it as uncharacterized. Lineage: Eukaryota; Metazoa; Chordata; Mammalia; Rodentia; Caviidae. The record is from RefSeq and is a predicted model, not a curated record. The transcript has 3 exons.
CUCCAUUCGGGGGUGUUUACUAGCAACUCUCGCGAGACCGCGCCACCAGCGAGGAGACCCACGGUCGGGAGCGUCAGCGCAGCGUGCGCGCUCCUGGCACCCAGGGCCGCAGACGCGUACCGGGAGAUAGACGGAAGUCUCGCGACACUUGCGGCCCGACUUAAUAAUGGCUGAUGGUACAGACACCAGCUGAACAGGGGAAAGCCAGAGUUCACACGUUGAAGGUCCUAAGCCCAACGACUACUACACAAGCACAAAAGAUCCUGGAGGUCCUAGUGGACCUGCACAGCUAGCAGCAUCAUGUAUGGAGACGCUUUCAGGUCACAGCUUCAACCUGACAGACACCAGACGUUGACGGCAAGAUUGCCCAUGGAGAUACGUCUCCACAGCUUCCCCACCAGCACACGUGUGGCCGGAAACCAGGAGGACUCUGAGCUACUUCCACCAAAACCUGUGCUGUUACCCAGGAUCUCCAAGGGUUUGGUUCUCCAUUUUUUACAUUCUGAAGACAGGAUCGAGGCGUGAAAGAGCUCUGGAAUUAACACUGAUCUUCUGUGUCCAAGUCACAGGAAGAAAUGCUACAGGAAGUGUCGCUGCGGGGGGAAGCAAACAAUCAGUCCUGACUCCAACCUACUUCCGACCUUCUGCGUCAGUGUCACAAUAUCAAGUUCUCAGUUUUAAAUCCCUACAUGCUGCCAUAUUCUUAUAGUGACAAGGUUUUCAAAGUGCUAGGUAUGUGGCCCUCAAGCAUGACUGCGUUAUAGAAUCUGAAUUAAAGAUAUUUCACAGUA